AGGUGAACAGCGGAAGGAUC
RNAcentral lists this ribosomal RNA (20 nucleotides) under Cyamopsis tetragonoloba (guar). RNAcentral's name for it is "partial 18S ribosomal RNA". Lineage: Eukaryota; Viridiplantae; Streptophyta; Magnoliopsida; Fabales; Fabaceae. The record is from RNAcentral.